AGAGUUUGAUCMUGGCUCAGAUUGAACGCUGGCGGCAUGCUUUACACAUGCAAGUCGAACGGCAGCGCGGGGCAACCUGGCGGCGAGUGGCGAACGGGUGAGUAAUAUAUCGGAACGUACCCAAGAGUGGGGGAUAACGUAGCGAAAGUUACGCUAAUACCGCAUACGAUCUAWGGAUGAAAGCAGGGGACCGCAAGGCCUUGUGCUCCUGGAGCGGCCGAUAUCUGAUUAGCUAGUUGGUGAGGUAAAGGCUCACCAAGGCGACGAUCAGUAGCUGGUCUGAGAGGACGACCAGCCACACUGGAACUGAGACACGGUCCAGACUCCUACGGGAGGCAGCAGUGGGGAAUUUUGGACAAUGGGCGCAAGCCUGAUCCAGCAAUGCCGCGUGAGUGAAGAAGGCCUUCGGGUUGUAAAGCUCUUUUGUCAGGGAAGAAACGGUGGGGGCUAAUAUCCUCCACUAAUGACGGUACCUGAAGAAUAAGCACCGGCUAACUACGUGCCAGCAGCCGCGGUAAUA
RNAcentral lists this ribosomal RNA (520 nucleotides) under uncultured bacterium. RNAcentral describes it as "bacterial SSU rRNA". It matches the Rfam family "Bacterial small subunit ribosomal RNA", at positions 8 to 525 of the family's 1533-position model. The record is from RNAcentral.